Long non-coding RNA from Pomacea canaliculata, 528 nucleotides. RefSeq lists it as uncharacterized. The record is from RefSeq and is a predicted model, not a curated record. The transcript is spliced from 3 exons. NCBI's taxonomy places the organism in Eukaryota, Metazoa, Mollusca, Gastropoda, Architaenioglossa, Ampullariidae.
CAGAAUUCAAAGACUUUGACAAAUCAGUAACCCUUUAGGCGACUUAUCUUAGUCUUAUAUAAGUGUCUGCAAGAAUUGAAACACGAAAGGACCUCCAGUUUGCAAGUCUUCAGUUCCUGCACCUUUACAGCUUUGAAAUGAAGGUAAUCGUCGUUGUUCUGUGCGCCCUCGUGGCUGUCAGCCAAGCUGGCCUCAUCUCCCCUGGCUACGGCUAUGGUGGAUACGGCUACGGCAUUGGUGGUCUUGGUGGUCUUGGUGGUGGACGUCUUGGCGGCAUUGGCGGCAUUGGCGGCAUUGGCGGCAUUGGCGGCUGGGGCGGCAUUGGAGGUCUCGGCGGCUACGGUGGGUUUGGAGGCUACGGUGGUUUCGGCGGCUAUGGUUAUGGCGGUGGCUUCCCAUUCAAAGGCUACUACGACUAAGUGAACACCUAUUUAAAUGGUUACGUUCGAGCCACAAGAUUGUUCUUCUUGGGUGAUAACAAUUCAAUCAUGAAUACGUAAAUGAAAUAAACAAUUUAAAAACUUCUAA